Molecule: long non-coding RNA, 4202 nt
Filed under: Salmo salar (Atlantic salmon)
Lineage: Eukaryota; Metazoa; Chordata; Actinopteri; Salmoniformes; Salmonidae
Description: lncRNA (ENSSSAG00000116785.1)
Source: RNAcentral
GGGGGGGUUUUCUGAAUGAAAGUUGAAAAUAUGUAUUUUCCAGAUGUAAAUAAAUACAUAUUUCUGGACAUUGAAAAUACACAAUUUACAUAUUUGAAAAUAUAUAUUUUUCAGUCAUUGAUUCUACGGCCAAAAUUCAAAUGCAUAUACAUUCUCAAUGAAGUAAUCAUUAUUUCACAAUAUAAAUGUUUCAAGCCACUUAAUAUUGGAACGAGGAGCCAACUGAAGAUUGCAACAGAACAUGUAUUAUUGCUCCCAUCAAUAUCAUGCACUCAUAUCAGCUAUGAUGUUCAAAGUAGUCCACCCAACAGACCACUCCAACUACAAUAGCAUCCUCAGUAACGGUUACAGGUGUGUUGUUGAUUGUAACUUGCUCUGGAUAAGAGCAUCUGCUGAAUGCCCAAAAUGUAAAUGUAAAAACAAACUCUUGCAAAGCAUGCUGGGUAUUAUUCAAAUGAGCUCCGCCCCUAAACAAGUACCCAUUUGUUCCGUGCAGACCAGAUCCAAAUCUGAAAGAAUCAUAGACGUCUAAGCUGUAUUUCACAAGUUUGAACAUCACAGUACAGUACGGCACAGUUUAGUACAGUAGAGCAUAGCAGAGUACAGUACAGUUUAAUUCAGUAGAGUACAGAACAGUACAGUAUAGUUUAAUUCAGUAGAGUAGAGUACGGUAUAGUUUAAUUCAGUAGAGUAUAGUACAGUGCAGUAGAUAAAGGCUCAAAAAUAAAUUCUGGGGACUCUCCCAACACGAUGCAGACAUUCCAGAACAUCGCUAUUCAAAACCAAUGUUUUCAGGCAAAACCUUUGCAGUGGUUUUAGUUAAGGUAAUUAAUGGAAACUAGCCAUUUGCGAAAUGCACUCAUUAAAAAUAAGCUGUGUGAUCUCCAUCUUGUUAGCUAAAAUGUUGUUUUUAUUCAAGAGCAUAAAGAAGUGUCGUAGGUAGUUCCUCUAUGAAAAGAGUCCAUAAUUGAAACCAGACUCUAGUCACUCUGUUCCCUAGGGUCGGGUUUUCCAGACUACCCGUGUGGUACCGAUCAAGAAUCUCCUCAGGGCCGCCCAUCAAAAUUAGCCUACAUUUAGGCAAUUGUUUGUGUAUUUCACUAACAUGUUGGGGGUAAAAAUCACAGUAUAAUGCUUGUUUGAAUGUCAACCCCAAUACGUUCAUUUCAUCAUCACCAAUCAACUGCAUUAGGCUUAUGCCUAAAAAUUACUUUAACUGCCACCAGUCAUUUUUAUAUGGCUAGGUAUACCAGCUUAUCAGAACGGGAGUAAGAUUAGCAGACACUUUUUCUAAACCCAAAAAGGACAACUUUGAAAUAUUAUGCAGUGAAAACAGCCAACAAUCCAACUGAGAUUUUAGUAUCCACAUUGUGGGCCUCUUCACAUAAAUCAUGACAGAUUUGACAAAGAUUUACUAAUGAAGUGAGAGACUGGUAGGGGCCUACUGGCUGGAUGUAGUGAGAGACUGGUAGGGGCCUACUGGCUGGAUGUAGUGAGAGACUGGUAGGGGCCUACUGGCUGGAUGUAGUGAGAGACUGGUAGGGGCCUACUGGCUGGAUGUAGUGAGAGACUGGUAGGGACCUACUGGCUGGAUGUGGUGAGAGACUGGUAGGGGCCUACUGGCUGGAUGUAGUGAGAGACUGGUAGGGGCCUACUGGCUGGAUGUAGUGAGAGACUGGUAGGGGCCUACUGGCUGGAUGUAGUGAGAGACUGGUAGGGACCUACUGGCUGGAUGUGGUGAGAGACUGGUAGGAGCCUACUGGCUGGAUGUAGUGAGAGACUGGUAGGGGCCUACUGGCUGGAUGUGGUGAGAGACUGGUAGGGGCCUACUGGCUGGAUGUAGUGAGAGACUGGUAGGGGCCUACUGGCUGGAUGUAGUGAGACACUGGUAGGGCCUACUGGCUGGAUUUACUAGUCUCAGAAACCCAGACAUAGGAGCAAGAGCACGAGGUCUUGGGAGGCUGUCAGAUUCUCGUAGACAUGCCGAAAUGGGAAGACAUUUUUCUGGUGGAGGUUUCUACCUGAAACCUGUUCAGCAAGGUUGCAGAAGGUUCAGAUAGAAAAUCUAGUCUUUGUGAUGUGGUGUAGGUGGUCUGUGUGUGUUGUGGUGUAGGUCUGUGUGUGUUGUGGUGUAGGUGGUCUGUGUGUGUUGUGGUGUAGGUGGUCUGUGUGUGUUGUGGUGUAGGUGGUCUGUGUGUGUUGUGGUGUAGGUGGUCUGUGUGUGUUGUGGUGUAGGUGGUCUGUGUGUGUUGUGGUGUAGGUGGUCUGUGUGUGUUGUGGUGUAGGUGGUCUGUGUGUGUUGUGGUGUAGGUCUGUGUGUGUGUGUUGUGGUGUAGGUGUAGGUAGUCUGUGUGUAUUGUGGUGUAGGUGGUCUGUGUGUGUUCUAGUGUAGGUGGGUCUGUGUGUGUUGUGGUGUAGGUGUGUGUUGUGGUGUAGGUGGUGUGUGUGUGUUGUGGUGUAGGUGGUAUGUGUGUGUGUUGUGGUGUAGGUGGCUGUGUGUGUGGUGGUGUAGGUGGUCUGUGUGUGUGUUGUGGUGUAGGUGGCUGUGUGUGUGGUGGUGUAGGUGGUCUGUGUGUGUGUGUUGUGUAGGUGGUGUGUAUUGUGGUGUGUGUGUUUUCCCCCCAUUCUGUUUGUUCAGUAUAUUUGACAGUAUACAUUACAUUUUGUUCUAUACAGUAUGUUUCGUUUAGUUUAUUUAUACAUAGGUCUGUUACUCGAUUAAAAAAUGUGUUGAUUAUUAUUAUUUUUAGGUUAGUUGAGUAGUCUGUAAAUGUUUAUCUGGUCUCCAUCCCUGUGUAGGUAUAUUUACAUUAUAAACAGCCUGGAGGUGGCAAUAGGCUCUAUAGGCUCUAUGUGUGUAUUGGGAAGAGCCAACAGUGGAAGAGCCAACAGUGGAAGAGCCAACAGUGGAAGAGCCAACAGUGCCAGUCUUGGUAGAUUCAGGUCGCUUUCCCCUGCUCAGAUGUUGCACGCAUCAACCAAUGCUUACAUACAACAUCAUCGACCGUGUCAUCGACUGACUGAAUGCUAGAACAUAUGAUGUGGUUAGCUGAUAGGUAAAAAACACCUAUCCAGUCCUGAUAAGAUCUGGCAAGAGUCAGCAACGCCUGGGCAGAGGAAUGUGUCUGCUAUGCAUGAUGACGUCAUAUCCCUACAACGAGAGGGAGGCCGACACAUUGACAGUACUAUUCAUAGACAAUAGGUGGCAGUAUAGUAUCAUAGAUCCUGCUUGUACUAAAGCUUCAAUGAGAACCUUUCCUUCUCUAGGCUCUACUCUCCAGGCCCUUUACUCUUUUCUAUUUUUGCCAAUUGCCUGCCACUGGCAUUAAACAAAGCAUGUGUGUCCAUGUAUGCUGAUGAUUCAACCAUAUACGCUAUGCGUCAGCAACCACAGCUAAUGAAGACACUGAAACCUUUAGCAAAGAGUUGCAGUCUGUUUUGGAAUGGGUGGCCAGUAAUAAACUGGUCCUGAACAUCUCUAAAACUAAGAGCAUUGUAUUUGGUAAAAAUCAUUCCUUAAGUUCUAGACAGCUGAAUCUGGUAAUGAACGGUGUGGCUGUUGAACAAGUUGAGGAGGAUAAAUUACUUGGCGAUACCUUUUGAUUGUAAACUGUCAUGGUCAAAAUAUAUAGAUUCAAUGGUUGUAAAGAUGGGGAGAGGUCUGUCCGUAAUAAAGAGAUACUCAGCUUUUUUGACACCACACUCCAGAAAGCAAGUUCUGCAGGAAUAUAGUUUUAUCUUAUCUUAAGGUAACAUAACUAAAUGACUAUCACACCGUAGCACUCACUUCUGUCAUCAUGAAGUGCUUUGAGAGACUUGUCAAGGAUCAUAUCACCUCCACCCUACCUGAUACCCUAGAGCCACUUCAAUUUGGGUACCGCCCAAAUAGGUCCACAGACGAUGCAAUCGCCAUCACACUGCACAUGGCCCUAUCCCACCUGGACAAGAGGAAUACCUAUGUAAGAAUGCUGUUCAUUGACUACAGCUCAGCAUUCAAAACCAUAGUGCCCUCCAAGCUCAUCAUUAAGCUUGAGGCCUUGGGUCUCAACCCCGCCCUGUGCAAUUGGGCCCUGGACUUCUUGACGGGCCGCCCCCAGGUGGUGAAGGUAGGAAACAACAUCUCCACUUCGCUGAUCCUCAACACUGGGGCUCCACAAGGGGGCUUGCUCAGCCCCCUCUUGUACUCCCUGUUCACCCAUGAC